GGGACUCCUUCCACAUGCAGCUGUAGGUGUGGGGUGUCCACGGGAGAAGUUAAUUCUCAUGGGAGAGAUUGUGGAAAAACAGCCACGUAGGAGAACCCAGCUGUUCCUCUGCAAAUAAGCAUGGCAGGAGCUACUUGUGAACAAAAACAGGCCUGGGAGAACGCCAGACGUCCACGUAGAGGUUUUAGCAGCACAGUGGAAGGAAUAAAGAGAUGAAGAAGAAAAAGAAAACAACCUCAUUUGCCUGCAUCAUUUCCAUUCCCCACGCCAGCACUACUGAGCUCUAAGAAGGAGCGUCCCAGCGUGGAAGAGUUUCUUUUGCCGGGUCCGCAAGAGCAGGGUGAGGAACCAUCUUUGCGGGCCUCUUGGAACAGAGUUAGGCUCCAGCUUCUGUUUCACCGCAUCGAGACAGGCAGAGCUAAGAUGUAUAUUUAACCAGCUAGAAACAAGGUAGAAAAAGAGGCUAAGUAGACAUGCAGUGGAGACCGUCACGGUUCAGAGAGUGGCUUUGCAGACAAACACGGCAGAUUCUGUCACUGAUGGAGCCAGUAGUUGGCGCAACCACCACAGGCCCCUCACUCUCCCUGCAACUCUCAGCAGCUUUCCCCCCACAGGUAUUUGCGCUUGGCAACACCAGCCACCUGUUUCCCUCCUUGAGCCGUGCCUUCGACCCUCUCUGCCUUCUGCAACUUUCAGAGUACAAGAUGCCAGCCUAGGCCCCAACAGGUGGCUCACACUAAACCCCCAUUCAGGGCUGGUAGCACCUGUAGCUCUGUACAGCUUUCUGAUGCCCAUCACCAACCUCCAGUGUGGUGCACACGCUUGGAUGGAAAAUACGCAGCCAUGGGUGAGUGUAUUGCCAGCCAGGGCCACUGCAGCACUCUCUGGGCCCAAAUAAGGCUGUGCCUUCAGUCUGGAACCACUGUGCACCUGCAUGCCAACAUCCAGGGUCUCUACCUCUGCCUGAGAGCACAGCUGAAUGCAGCCCAUGAUACUGGCUCUGGCCCCCAUCACUCCAUGUGUGUCUUUAAUGGGGCUCUGCUACUACAGGACCUGCUGCUGGUCCCAAAGCCAAGUGCAUGUUAAGCUAAAUAUAUGACACCCCCCGGACAGAGUGCUACCAAAUGCCACAAUACCACACCCUGCACCACUAGAACUCAGGUCAGGGUCAUUCACCGACAGAUGAAAGGUUUCCCUUACCAAAGCUGGUGCAUCGAGUCUAGAAGAGGUUACUCCUUUUUUCAAAUGCACAAAAACCUAUGCAGAGUUACAAGGAUCACAAAGAAUGAGGGAGAUACAGCUUCUCCAAAGUAAUACAGUAAACCUGCAAUACCUGGCCCCAAAGAAAUCAAAGAUCCAGAAACUACGAGAGAAAGUCUUUUUUUUUUUUUGGUUGAGCGUACAGCAUGUGGACAUUCCAAGGCCAGGGAUCAAAUACACACCAUAGCAGUGACCCAAGCUACUGCAGUGACAACGCCAGAUCCUUUACCUGCUGUGCCACAAGAAAACUCCAAGAGAUUUUCUAAAAAUGGAGAGUAUAAACAAUCCAAAGAUACUAGGAAAACCAUACACAAACAAAAUGAAGAGUUCAGCAAAGAUAGAGAAUGUAAAAGAGACACCCCCCCAAAAAAAAAAAUUUUGGAACUAAAGAAUGCUCUAAGUGAAAUAAAGAAUUCAGUAGCUGACUCAAGCAACCAGAAGAAUCAGUGAGCCCAAAGACAGAUCAACUGAAACAGUCCAAUCAGAGGAGAAAAAAAAA
This 1759-nucleotide long non-coding RNA is filed under the name Sus scrofa (pig). RNAcentral describes it as "lncRNA (ENSSSCG00060034771.1)". Lineage: Eukaryota; Metazoa; Chordata; Mammalia; Artiodactyla; Suidae. The record is from RNAcentral.